AAUUUUUCCUUUCUUUUUUAUUUUGCACUUGUGGUGUUUAAUUUAGGUGCCUUUCUGACCGGCUCGAAGGACCAUUUGUUCACUGCACUUACUUUCCCUGGGUAUACUUACUUGCAACUUGCAACAUGGAAUUACGUAUCCCUUUGGUGUUAGCGCGUAAUUUAAAGAAGUGUAUUUAAAAGGGUAAAAUUCAAGCACUAUUGUAUUUUCUUUUUCGGGGUUUCAAUUAUAUAUAUACAUAUCGCACCCUAAAUAUAAAAGGGUCACAACUCAAAAUUUUCCAAAAAUGAGUUUUUUGCAUAAAUUAAUUCAGAGUACACAUCUCUAACUACUGCAAAAAUUUCGUUCACAUAACUGUCUUCGUUAACUGGAAAAAUACAGUUAUGUCUAUUUUUAUGUCAAGUGUGUUGCUUUUGCACGAUCAACUAAAGAGAAUUAUUUUUAGUUGCGUUAAUGUGCUCAAACCCAGCUGAUUACUUUUAUUACACAUAAAGAGUUUUAUUUUGAGUUCUGCCUCUAUAACUGUAAAAAAUGAUAAAUUUCGUGGUAUAUUAUUUUGCAUUGUGCCUCUUUAGUUGUGAAAAGUGAGUUCAGUUAACAGUAUUAUUUAUUUAUGUGCCUUCUUUGAUGAAAUAAUCGUGAGCGUCUUGUGACCCCUUUGAUGAAAAUGUCUUGCCCAAACCUUGGACAUUACUCAAACACAAUGGAAACAGAUUGUAGUGUGCCUUGUCACAAUGAUGAUAGUAGCACUAAUGCAUUUAGUGACUCAGGGAGUGAAUUUUGUGUGUCCGGAAAAAGCACCACCCCAGAAGAAUACUCAGAAGAAGAAGAAGAAGAAGAUAUAAAAAGAUUAAGUAGGAAGAGAACACUUUCUAGAUAUACAUAUCAAAAUAAGAAACAACAGAAACAAAAAUCUUUAAGAAACUCUGGAGCCUCUUAUACAUCACUUUCCAAGUCGAAAAAAGAAGUAAAUGCCAGGUGUAUAAGGCCACCCUGCGGAGCAAAAUGCCGACUUCGAUGCAAUGAAUUAAUUUCCGAAUCGAUGCGCCUUGAAAUAUUUAAAAAAUAUUGGGGUUGCAGUGACUUGCAAAGACAGAGAGAGUUUAUAGAUUUUUUGAAGAUUUUCUUUUUUAAUAUAGUGAACUAUUUUGAUUUCUACUUUGUGCUACUUUGAUACAUAUGUGUUAUUGAAAUGAAUAAAGCUUUAUUUCAAAAUAGAAAUAUUUAAAUAAAAACAUACAUUUCCUCA
This is a long non-coding RNA of Bactrocera dorsalis (oriental fruit fly), 1249 nucleotides long. RefSeq lists it as uncharacterized. The record is from RefSeq and is a predicted model, not a curated record. Lineage: Eukaryota; Metazoa; Arthropoda; Insecta; Diptera; Tephritidae. The transcript is spliced from 2 exons.